Molecule: long non-coding RNA, 908 nt
Organism: Helicoverpa armigera (cotton bollworm)
Lineage: Eukaryota; Metazoa; Arthropoda; Insecta; Lepidoptera; Noctuidae
Exons: 2
Source: RefSeq, a predicted model, not a curated record
AGGAGCUACAAGGGAAAAGUUAAGAAGUCCGUUCAAUCGGGAGCUGGUGCCGAUGAGAUAUAUCAGCCCAUUUGGUUCGCUUAUGAAGCAAUGGAUGCUUUUUUGGGAGAUACUCUAAAGUGUAAAAAAAGUAUGAAUACGGAACGUGGAAUAAAGGAGCCUAAAGAAGUAAAUCUCGAAGCUAUUAAAGAGAAUGUUGAAGAAAUGAAUGAAAAUCGAAGUCAGUCUAUUAACACCCAAAAAGACAGUGACCAGACAAUCCACCGACGCAAAAUCUCUUCAGAAGUGGUUGACGCAGGAAAUGUCGUUAAAGACGCUCUUAUCACCUUCAAAUCCACGCUAAAAAGGAACCCAUUACAGCCUAUUCAGCAAGACGAUGAUUGCGAUUUAUACGGAAAACUAUUAGCAAAUAAGUUGCGAAAAUUAUCUGAAAAGAAUAGAUUGAAGUUGAUGCACGACAUUGAUGGGAUGUAUUUACAAUACCAAUUUGAUGACCCUUUAGUGAUGACUCCAUCGCCACCUCAUUUUUAUGAACCAAGAACAGGCACAUCAUCAUCUACGCAUUCAGAGCCUCCAUUUCAUUACGGGCAGGCGAAUCAAAAUACUUAUUACCAAAAUAGACAAGUAAUAUCAGCCCCACCUUCUAAUAUCAUUAUUCAAUCGAACCGGCUAAUUCGUACACCAGAUUAUCCUGUCCUUCAUUUACCAGAGAACCAAGAUGCAAACACAUCUGAUCAUAAUAAUGAUAUAGUUCAGACAGCUUUUGACUUAAGUUAAAUACCUACUGAAAUUACCGAAUUUUGUUUUUAUUGUCUAUUGAAUUUUGUUAUUAUAUUUGGUUGAUUUUGCAAAGUUAUAUUCUAGAUUCUAAGUAGUUCUGUAUAUGCAUAAUAAAAGUAUUAAAUUGA